CUGUUCGAGCGUCAUUACAACCCUCAAGCUCAGCUUGGUAUUGGGCUCGCCUUCACCGGCCUGCCUUAAAAUCAUUAGCGACUCCGUCCAGUCUCAAGCGCAGUAAUACUCGUCGCUUGUUAGGCUUGGCCGGCAGCCUGCUACCAACCCCCUCAUACAAGGUUGACCUCGGAUCAGGUAGGGAUACCCGCUGAACUUAA
Molecule: unclassified non-coding RNA, 200 nt
Filed under: soil metagenome
Description: partial contains internal transcribed spacer 2 and large subunit ribosomal RNA
Source: RNAcentral